This 366-nucleotide ribosomal RNA is filed under the name Triticum aestivum (bread wheat). RNAcentral describes it as "partial small subunit ribosomal RNA". The record is from RNAcentral. Lineage: Eukaryota; Viridiplantae; Streptophyta; Magnoliopsida; Poales; Poaceae.
AUGGCGUCGUCGUUGGCAACGGCACCGGCUGCUGUACGCGAUAUGCAGUGCGACCUCGAGUCCCAGGCCAACGCCCUCAGCAAGAUCCAGAAAGACAUCUCCAAGAAUCACGAGGUCCGCAAGCAGUUCACCAUCCAGGUCGGCGAGAAUGAACUCGUCCUCAAGGAGCUGGAGCUGCUGAAUGAAGGGGCGAACGUGUACAAGCUGAUCGGGCCAGUGUUGGUCAAGCAGGACAAUGCGGAGGCGAAGGCCAACAUCAAAAAGCGCAUCGAGUACAUCACAGCUGAGCUAAUGAGAAUGGAUCGGGCGCUUAAGGACUUGGAGGAGAAACAGAAUAGCAAGAAGGAAUCGUUAUGGUUUCCUUGA